Molecule: unclassified non-coding RNA, 346 nt
Filed under: soil metagenome
Description: partial contains 5.8S ribosomal RNA, internal transcribed spacer 2, and large subunit ribosomal RNA
Rfam family: 5.8S ribosomal RNA (bases 1-120)
Source: RNAcentral
GAUGAAGAACGCAGCAAAAUGCGAUAAGUAAUGUGAAUUGCAGAAUUCAGUGAAUCAUCGAAUCUUUGAACGCACAUUGCGCCCGCCAGUAUUCUGGCGGGCAUGCCUGUUCGAGCGUCAUUUCAACCCUCAAGCCCUCGGGUUUGGUGUUGGGGAUCGGCGAGCCUUUCUAGCAAGCCGGCCCCGAAAUCUAGUGGCGGUCUCGCUGCAGCCUCCAUUGCGUAGUAGUAAAACCCUCGCAACUGGAACGCGGCGCGGCCAAGCCGUUAAACCCCCAACUUCUGAAUGUUGACCUCGGAUCAGGUAGGAAUACCCGCUGAACUUAAGCAUAUCAAUAAGCGGAGGA